This 504-nucleotide ribosomal RNA is filed under the name uncultured bacterium. RNAcentral's name for it is "partial 16S ribosomal RNA". It matches the Rfam family "Bacterial small subunit ribosomal RNA", at positions 30 to 523 of the family's 1533-position model. The record is from RNAcentral.
AUUGAACGCUAGCGGCAUGCCUAACACAUGCAAGUCGUACGGCAGCACGAGGAGCUUGCUCCUUGGUGGCGAGUGGCGGACGGGUGAGUAACGCGUAGGAAUCUGCCUUGUAGCGGGGGACAACCCGGGGAAACUCGGGCUAAUACCGCAUAAUGUCUUCGGACCAAAGUUGGGGACCUUCGGGCCUAACACUACAAGAUGAGCCUGCGUUGGAUUAGCUAGUUGGUGGGGUAAAGGCCUACCAAGGCAACGAUCCAUAGCUGGUCUGAGAGGACGACCAGCCACACUGGGACUGAAACGCGGCCCAGACUCCUACGGGAGGCAGCAGGGGGGAAUAUUGGACAAUGGGCGAAAGCCUGAUCCAGCAAUGCCGCGUGUGUGAAGAAGGCCUUCGGGUUGUAAAGCACUUUCGUUGGGGAAGAAAAAGCCAAAGUUAAUAUCUUUGGAAAUUGACGUUACCCAAAGAAGAAGCACUGGCUAACUCUGUGCCAGCCGCCGCAGUAA